GGGUUGUGAGGUUAAGCGACUAAGCGUACACGGUGGAUGCCCUGGCAGUCAGAGGCGAUGAAGGGCGUGCUAAUCUGCGAUAAGCGCCGGUAAGGUGAUAUGAACCGUUAUAACCGGCGAUACCCGAAUGGGGAAACCCAGUGUGAUUCGUCACACUAUCAUUAACUGAAUCCAUAGGUUAAUGAGGCGAACCGGGGGAACUGAAACAUCUAAGUACCCCGAGGAAAAGAAAUCAACCGAGAUUCCCCCAGUAGCGGCGAGCGAACGGGGAGGAGCCCAGAGCCUGAAUCAGCAUGUGUGUUAGUGGAAGCGUCUGGAAAGGCGCGCGAUACAGGGUGACAGCCCCGUACACAAAAGCGCAUGUGUUGUGAGCUCGAUGAGUAGGGCGGGACACGUGGUAUCCUGUCUGAAUAUGGGGGGACCAUCCUCCAAGGCUAAAUACUCCUGACUGACCGAUAGUGAACCAGUACCGUGAGGGAAAGGCGAAAAGAACCCCGGCGAGGGGAGUGAAAAAGAACCUGAAACCGUGUACGUACAAGCAGUGGGAGCACCCUUUGGGGUGUGACUGCGUACCUUUUGUAUAAUGGGUCAGCGACUUAUAUUCUGUAGCAAGGUUAACCGAAUAGGGGAGCCGGAGGGAAACCGAGUCUUAAUUGGGCGUUAAGUUGCAGGGUAUAGACCCGAAACCCGGUGAUCUAGCCAUGGGCAGGUUGAAGGUUGGGUAACACUAACUGGAGGACCGAACCGACUAAUGUUGAAAAAUUAGCGGAUGACCUGUGGCUGGGGGUGAAAGGCCAAUCAAACCGGGAGAUAGCUGGUUCUCCCCGAAAGCUAUUUAGGUAGCGCCUCGUGAAUUCAUCUCCGGGGGUAGAGCACUGUUUCGGCUAGGGGGCCAUCCCGGCUUACCAACCCGAUGCAAACUGCGAAUACCGGAGAAUGUUAUCACGGGAGACACACGGCGGGUGCUAACGUCCGUCGUGAAGAGGGAAACAACCCAGACCGCCAGCUAAGGUCCCAAAGUCAUGGUUAAGUGGGAAACGAUGUGGGAAGGCCCAGACAGCCAGGAUGUUGGCUUAGAAGCAGCCAUCAUUUAAAGAAAGCGUAAUAGCUCACUGGUCGAGUCGGCCUGCGCGGAAGAUGUAACGGGGCUAAACCAUGCACCGAAGCUGCGGCAGCGACACUAUGUGUUGUUGGGUAGGGGAGCGUUCUGUAAGCCUGUGAAGGUGUGUCGUGAGGCAUGCUGGAGGUAUCAGAAGUGCGAAUGCUGACAUAAGUAACGAUAAAGCGGGUGAAAAGCCCGCUCGCCGGAAGACCAA
Molecule: ribosomal RNA, 1316 nt
Filed under: Salmonella enterica subsp. enterica serovar Newport
Lineage: Bacteria; Pseudomonadati; Pseudomonadota; Gammaproteobacteria; Enterobacterales; Enterobacteriaceae
Description: partial 23S ribosomal RNA
Rfam family: Bacterial large subunit ribosomal RNA
Source: RNAcentral